This 482-nucleotide ribosomal RNA is filed under the name uncultured bacterium. RNAcentral describes it as "bacterial SSU rRNA". It matches the Rfam family "Bacterial small subunit ribosomal RNA", at positions 30 to 507 of the family's 1533-position model. The record is from RNAcentral.
AUUGAACGCUGGCGGCAUGCCUUACACAUGCAAGUCGAACGGUAACAGGGAGCUUGCUCCGCUGACGAGUGGCGAACGGGUGGUAAUGUAUCGGAACGUACCAUUCAGUGGGGGAUAACGUAGCGAAAGUUACGCUAAUACCGCAUAUUCUGUGAGCAGGAAAGCAGGGAUCGCAAGACCUUGCGCUGAUUGAGCGGCCGAUAUCAGAUUAGCUAGUUGGUGAGGUAAAGGCUCACCAAGGCGACGAUCUGUAGCGGGUCUGAGAGGAUGAUCCGCCACACUGGAACUGAGACACGGUCCAGACUCCUACGGGAGGCAGCAGUGGGGAAUUUUGGACAAUGGGGGCAACCCUGAUCCAGCCAUGCCGCGUGAGUGAAGAAGGCCUUCGGGUUGUAAAGCUCUUUCGGCCGGGAAAAAAUCGCAUCAGUUAAUACCUGGUGUGGAUGAUGGUACCGGAAUAAGAAGCACCGGCUAACUACGUG